This 288-nucleotide ribosomal RNA is filed under the name Triticum aestivum (bread wheat). Its description in RNAcentral is "partial small subunit ribosomal RNA". The record is from RNAcentral. Lineage: Eukaryota; Viridiplantae; Streptophyta; Magnoliopsida; Poales; Poaceae.
GUUGGUUGCAAUCGCCUUAUUGUCAACUCUGAUAAUAUGGAAAUGAUUGACACAAUGAAAAAUGGAGGACAAUCAGCGGGUGCGGCAACAGCAGUGUUCGACAAUUGCUAUUUUAUGGCAUGUGAUUUUUCUGUUACUAGGUUUGAACAUUGUAAUAGGGAAGCAAAUAAAGUUGCUCAUGAACUUGCUAUACUAGUGAAAUUUUCAGAGACUAGGGAUUGGUGUGAGGAGCCUAUGGAGGAUAUUGUAUCUUUUUUUAUUGAUGAUGUAACUCUUAUUUCCAAUUAA